This is a long non-coding RNA of Uranotaenia lowii, 834 nucleotides long. RefSeq lists it as uncharacterized. The transcript has 3 exons. Lineage: Eukaryota; Metazoa; Arthropoda; Insecta; Diptera; Culicidae. The record is from RefSeq and is a predicted model, not a curated record.
AGUGUUUACAAGUGCAAAUGGCAUCUCUUGAACUCCAGUUCUGCUGUUUUUUUCGCCCGUUGACUCUGAACCCUCAGCUGCCUUUAAAGCUACUUAUGUUAAUGGUGAUGGUGAAUGAUGCAACGGCAGCAGCAAUCUACGGAAGAGCAUAUUGGGUAGAGCGGAAAAUGGUCAUUGAAACGGUCUUUGCGUUAGAUGCUUGUAACGAUGUUACAUAUAUUUCUCCUAUUUUAUUAACACUACCCUACGACAAUACCAUAAAACGUUCCCUGUCUCUGAAGACUGCCCGGCCAAGAGAUGUCAAGGUAACUUGGCGUCAAGAAUGCGAUCGAGGUUGGGGUCGUCAGCAGAUGACGAAACCAAAGAAGCAGGAAAUAAAACAGAAUUCACGAUACUCCUCGGGUCGUCAUCGCUAUGAAGAUGUAAAGCUUCUUUAGCUUGGAAGGUCUCGCCCAUUUGCCUUGUGACCACUAGACGAGUAUCAUCUAGGCCCGGCCAGUACAACACUAAGAAAACGUGCUUCGGUAGUGUUAAUACAGUUGCAAUAACGUCGAUGUGCCACUGUAAAUAAUAAAAACGAGAUAGUGCCAAAGAAAACAUACUAUCAGAUUGCCCUUCGAGAAGGGCGUUCCCGCCGGGACCGAAAAACGGCCGCAGAAUAAUACCCCUGGGCCAACAUAUCGUGGUCGUGCAACAUCGUGACAAGUUCACGAUAAGUCGAGUGUUACGUGUAACCAACAUCAUUUGACCGUGCGAUACAUCCGGGAUGUUGGUGAGCAUCUAAUUCACCAUAGUACCCACUCGACCCACACAACUGCAGCUGAGACUCGCACC